GAUGAAGAACGUAGCGAAAUGCGAUAAGUAGUGUGAAUUGCAGAAUUCAGUGAAUCAUCGAAUCUUUGAACGCACAUUGCGCCCCUUGGUAUCCCGAGGGGCAUGCCUGUUCGAGCGUCAUUUCACCACUCAAGCCUGGCUUGGUGUUGGGCGACGUCCUCUUUGGGGACGUGCCUCGAAACGCUCGGCGGCGUGGCACCGGCUUUAAGCGUAGCAGAAUCUUUCGCUUUGGAAGUCGGGGCCCCGUCUGCCGGAAGACCUGCUCGCAAGAUUGACCUCGGAUCAGGCAGGGAUACCCGCUGAACUUAAGCAUAUCAAUAAGCGGAGGA
This 329-nucleotide unclassified non-coding RNA is filed under the name soil metagenome. RNAcentral describes it as "partial contains 5.8S ribosomal RNA, internal transcribed spacer 2, and large subunit ribosomal RNA". The stretch from base 1 to 120 matches the Rfam family "5.8S ribosomal RNA", at positions 35 to 154 of the family's 154-position model. The record is from RNAcentral.